Globicephala melas (long-finned pilot whale) is the source of this 499-nucleotide long non-coding RNA. RefSeq lists it as uncharacterized. The record is from RefSeq and is a predicted model, not a curated record. Lineage: Eukaryota; Metazoa; Chordata; Mammalia; Artiodactyla; Delphinidae.
AGCUGGUGCUCCCGGGCGAAGAGGAGGCGCGCGCGCCUGGAGCGCUGUGCCUACGCGCCCCCGCCUGGGGCUAUAAAAGCCUAGCCACCUGCUGCCGCUAGUGCGUCCAAUUGCCCGAGAAGCCAACUCAACCUCCUCCGGCGGCAGCUCCUCUUGACAUGGAUCCUGAGACCUGCCCCUGCCCUACUGGCGGCUCCUGCACCUGCGCUGACUCCUGCAAGUGUGAGGGAUGCAAAUGCACCUCCUGCAAGAAGAGCUGCUGCUCCUGCUGCCCCGCAGAGUGUGAGAAAUGCGCCAAGGAUUGUGUGUGUAAAGGCGGAGAGGGCGCCGAAGCUGAGGGGAAGUGCAGCUGCUGCCAGUGAGGACGUGCCCCGUGCGAAACGUGUGUAAAUAGUGCUGGUGGCCCAGCGCCACCUGUCCCCGUGGUGAGGCUCGGCAGCGUGGCCCCUUCCCCUGCUAGCCACUGGCAAGUGACAAUAAAUCCUAUGAAUGACAUAAA